Molecule: ribosomal RNA, 487 nt
Filed under: Alexandrium monilatum
Lineage: Eukaryota; Dinophyceae; Gonyaulacales; Pyrocystaceae
Description: partial Bacterial large subunit ribosomal RNA
Rfam family: Bacterial large subunit ribosomal RNA
Source: RNAcentral
CAGCGAAAGUGAGUCUGAACAGGGCAUUCAGUCCGCUGCUUUAGACCCGAAACCAGGUGAUCUAGCCAUGCGCAGGAUGAAGGUGCGGUAACACGCACUGGAGGACCGAACCGGGAUCUGUUGAAAAAGAUUCGGAUGACCUGUGGGUCGGAGUGAAAGGCUAAUCAAGUCCGGAGAUAGCUGGUUCUCCCCGAAAGCUAUUUAGGUAGCGCCUCGGACGAAUACCACAGGGGGUAGAGCACUGUUUCGGCUAGGGGGUCAUCCCGACUUACCAACCCGAUGCAAACUCCGAAUACCUGUGAGUACUAUCCGGGAGACACACGGCGGGUGCUAACGUCCGUCGUGAAGAGGGAAACAACCCAGACCGCCAGCUAAGGUCCCCAAGUUCCAGUUAAGUGGGAAACGAUGUGGGAAGGCUCAGACAGCUAGGAGGUUGGCUUAGAAGCAGCCAUCCUUUAAAGAAAGCGUAAUAGCUCACUAGUCGAGU